RNAcentral lists this non-coding RNA (30 nucleotides) under Mus musculus (house mouse). The record is from RNAcentral. Lineage: Eukaryota; Metazoa; Chordata; Mammalia; Rodentia; Muridae.
UGAGAGCCUCUUGUUGAACCCUUCCCCAGA